CCCUUAGAUGUCCUGGGCCGCACGCGCGUUACACUGAUGCAUUCAACGAGCUUAUAACCUUGGCCGAGAGGCCUGGGCAAUCUUGUUAACGUGCAUCGUGAUAGGGAUAGAUUAUUAAAAUUAUUAAUCUUGAACGAGGAAUUCCUAGUAAACGCAGAUCAUCAAUCUGCAUUGAUUACGUCCCUGCCCUUUGUACACACCGCCCGUCGCACCUACCGAUUGGAUGGUCCGGUGAAGCCUCGGGAUUGUGGUUCUUGCCGCUUUAUUGUGGCGUGACCGCGAGAACUUGUCUAAACCUUAUCAUCUAGAGGAAGGUGAAGUCGUAACA
RNAcentral lists this ribosomal RNA (328 nucleotides) under uncultured eukaryote. RNAcentral describes it as "partial 18S ribosomal RNA". It matches the Rfam family "Eukaryotic small subunit ribosomal RNA", at positions 1470 to 1796 of the family's 1831-position model. The record is from RNAcentral.